Dreissena polymorpha is the source of this 247-nucleotide long non-coding RNA. RefSeq lists it as uncharacterized. The record is from RefSeq and is a predicted model, not a curated record. Lineage: Eukaryota; Metazoa; Mollusca; Bivalvia; Myida; Dreissenidae. The transcript has 3 exons.
AGCAUGUGGAGCAGCAUUUGCGUAAGUUGCCAGCCAGCCUUCAGGGCGAGCGCCGCACCCUUGAGACCAAGAUUGGGACGCUUAAGAAACAGCUGGCAGCUGAACAAGAUCAGAUGCAGAAAAUGAAACUGAAGAACGACCUGAAGAAGUUGGAGAAAGAGAAACAUGUUAUAGACAGCAAGUGUGCAGUUGACACCUCUAAGACCCCUAGCGAUUCCAGAAAGGAGCGUGAAGUGCGACAUCGCCU